Molecule: ribosomal RNA, 514 nt
Filed under: uncultured bacterium
Lineage: Bacteria
Description: partial 16S ribosomal RNA
Rfam family: Bacterial small subunit ribosomal RNA
Source: RNAcentral
AACGAACGCUGGCAGAAUGCUUAACACAUGCAAGUCGAACGUGAAAGUACUUCGGUAUGAGUAAAGUGGCGCACGGGUGAGUAACACGUAGGUGACCUGCCGUUUAGAGGGGGAUAACCAGAAGAAAUAUUGGCUAAUACCGCAUACGAAGAACGAACUUAAAUAUAGUUCUUGAAAGGAUGCCUCUGCAUAUGCAUCUACUAAACGAUGGGCCUGCGGUACAUUAGCUAGUUGGUGGGGUAAUGGCCUACCAAGGCGACGAUGUAUAACGGAUCUGAGAGGAUGGUCCGUCACACUGGAACUGAGACACGGUCCAGACUCCUACGGGAGGCAGCAGUGGGGAAUAUUGGACAAUGGGCGAAAGCCUGAUCCAGCAAUUCUGCGUGAGUGAGGAAGGACUUCGGUCUGUAAAGCUCUGUUAAUGUGGAAAAAUGGUUAGCGGUCUAAUAGGCCGUUGAUUUGAUGGUACACAUAGAGGAAGCACCGGCUAACUUCGUGCCAGCCGCCGCGGUAA